GCCGGGAUAUCUCAGUUGGUAGAACA
This 26-nucleotide transfer RNA is filed under the name Sisymbrium polymorphum. RNAcentral's name for it is "partial tRNA-Phe". The record is from RNAcentral. Lineage: Eukaryota; Viridiplantae; Streptophyta; Magnoliopsida; Brassicales; Brassicaceae.